Molecule: ribosomal RNA, 422 nt
Filed under: uncultured bacterium
Lineage: Bacteria
Description: bacterial SSU rRNA
Rfam family: Bacterial small subunit ribosomal RNA
Source: RNAcentral
UGAGGAAUAUUGGGCAAUGCCCGCAAGGGUGACCCAGCAACGCCGCGUGGAGGAUGAAUGUCGUAAGAUUGUAAACUCCUGUUAGAGGGGAAGAAUAGUACCGGUUGGACCGGUAUAUGACUGUACCCUCAGAGAAAGCCCCGGCUAACUACGUGCCAGCAGCCGCGGUAAUACGUAGGGGGCAAGCGUUGUCCGGAUUUACUGGGGGUAAAGGGCGCGCAGGCGGGAUAAAAAGUCAGUGGUGAAAUCCUACAGCUUAACUGUAGAACUGCCGUUGAUACUGUUAGUCUUGAGUUCGGGAGAGAGAGACGGAAUUCCAGGUGUAGUGGUGAAAUACGUAGAUAUCUGGAAGAACACCAGUUGCGAAGGCGGUCUCUUGGUCCGACACUGACGCUGAGGCGCGAAAGCGUGGGGAGCAAACA